GUGCCAGCAGCCGCGGUAAGACGAACCGUGCGAACGUUAUUCGGAAUCACUGGGCUUAAAGCGCGUGUAGGCGGGCCGGCACGUCGAUGCUGAAAUCCCCCGGCUUAACCGGGGAACGGGCGUCGAUACGACCGGCCUGGAGGGGGGUAGGGGGAGCCGGAACUUCCGGUGGAGCGGUGAAAUGCGUUGAGAUCGGAAGGAACGCCCGUGGCGAAAGCGGGCUCCUGGACCCCACCUGACGCUGAGACGCGAAAGCCAGGGGAGCGAACGGGAUUAGAAACCCCAGUAGUCC
Molecule: ribosomal RNA, 292 nt
Filed under: uncultured bacterium
Lineage: Bacteria
Description: partial 16S ribosomal RNA
Rfam family: Bacterial small subunit ribosomal RNA
Source: RNAcentral